RNAcentral lists this ribosomal RNA (564 nucleotides) under uncultured bacterium. RNAcentral describes it as "bacterial SSU rRNA". It matches the Rfam family "Bacterial small subunit ribosomal RNA", at positions 340 to 916 of the family's 1533-position model. The record is from RNAcentral.
UACGGGAGGCAGCAGUGGGGAAUUUUCCGCAAUGGGCGAAAGCCUGACGGAGCAAGACCGCGUGCGGGACGAAGGCCUGUGGGUCGUAAACCGCUUUUGAUAGGGAAGAAGAACUGACGGUACCUAUCGAAUCAGCCUCGGCUAACUCCGUGCCAGCAGCCGCGGUAAUACNGGAGGAGGCAAGCGUUAUCCGGAAUUAUUGGGCGUAAAGCGUCCGCAGGUGGUUGAGUAAGUCUGCUGUCAAAGCCCGGGGCUCAACCCUGGAGAGGCAGUGGAAACUACUGAACUAGAGUGCGGUAGGGGCAGAGGGAAUUCCCAGUGUAGCGGUGAAAUGCGUAGAUAUUGGGAAGAACACCGGUGGCGAAAGCGCUCUGCUGGGCCUGCACUGACACUGAGGGACGAAAGCUAGGGGAGCGAAAGGGAUUAGAUACCCCUGUAGUCCUAGCCNGUAAACGAUGGACACUAGGUGUUGCCCGUAUCGACCCGGGCAGUGCCGUAGCUAACGCGUUAAGUGUCCCGCCUGGGGAGUACGCGCGCAAGCGUGAAACUCAAAGAAAUUGACGG